UGGAGGUUAGUAAUUCAAACUGUCGGAUUACGUAAACAGUUUAUAUAACUUUUGGUUUGUUUCAUGGCCAACAUAAUGUAGCGUAUUUAAGUAGUGAUUGUGAAAUGUAAAUUUAAUUACAAAUAAAUCAGAGUUUUCAUAAGUCGUUGCCAACAUAUCAAAUUUUUCGUUGGCUACCCCGGGAUGUUUGGUUCACUAACAAUUAUUCAGAAACCUAACCUGUACUCUGUUAUGAAUUUGCAAAUAUGUGACAGCCAUUCUGCAGGAGAUUAUAUGAGAACAAAAAACGCCUAGAAGAUAUUAGUAAUGAACCCCACACUCAUCGAGGAGAGUUCUUCAAAAAGAAUUCCACACAAUCUUGAAGCCCUUGUCAAAUCUCUAGAUGGAUCACCAGAUGUUUCACCUACAAAUACAAAUGAUUUAAUUGCUGUUUUGCUGUACGUGUUAAUGAUGGAAACAGGGUAUUCACCAAUAAAUGUAGGAGGCACUUCAAUUUCCAGCAGUGAUCAUGGAUUCAGUAUUCAUAAGCUGAAUCGCUUCUGCAAUAUGCCAGCCAUUUGGAAGAACAUUCGACAAAACAAUUAUGAAAUGACUUUUACUCUUGGAAGAUUCACUCAACAUCCAUGCAGACUGCUUAUAAUAUCAAUAGAUGAUGAAAUUAUUGUCAAUUUACUUAUAUCAAAUUUGAACGAAGAAAGAAAUGGAUAUUCCUUAGGGAUUCAACCCUCAAAAUAUGUUGUCAAUCCAACAUCUAAUUGCAUUCCGACAAAGUUCAGAAAUCUGAGAGAUCUUUCCCUGAGAUUUAAAAACAGUUUGUCACAUCCUGCUAGAAGUGUAAUUUUGACCAAGGAAGGUAUACUGAAUGCAAGUCUUUUGGGUGUUCCUGAUGAAGUUAAGAUCAAAAUAUUUAAAUAUUUGAAAGUAUCAGACCUCUUAAAAUUGUCACUGGUUUGUAGCCAUUUAUAUACUGUGACUGAAGAACAAGGGCUGUGGAGGUAUUUCCUGCUAAGAGAUUUCAGGUGUGAAGAUGUGGAAGACCUUGUGAAUCAGCCAGGUAUAAAUGAUAUUAUCAUUUGGAAGGAGGAAUACAAAAAAAGAUACACAAGCGUCCAUAUCAGAAGACAUAAGUGGCAUUUUCGCAGUGAUAUAUAGUUUAUAUCAAUUGUCAACGCACGUAUUCACUUUCUUUCUUCGAACAUUUAUGGUCUGCUGCUACAAAACUUGACUACUGAUGUAUUCAACACUUAUUCACAUGUGUUGUUUACUUUGUAGAAUUCCAUAUCUUUAAAGAAACCAAUUUCCUCCUGUUGUUACUGGUCACAAAUUAAUCAUUUCCAAACGAAUUCACAGACUGAGAUAACUGUUGACGUUUGUUGUUGUUUUUUUUUUGUUUUUUUGAGUAUAAUGCAAAUCAACUAUGAAUGUGCUAACACGAAAAUAAAUUUGAAAGUUAACUGGGGCAAGUACUCAUCUGUAUGCUUACUCGUAAGCAUUUCAGCAGCUGUCUCAGUUAAAAUAAAGUUCAGAUUUCUUACCUUCUAUACACAUACCAAAUAAACAUACCUGCUAGCCAAUGUCUCUGUUUUGUAUUUUGCUAUUUCUGGUUAGUAAAGUAUAAAAGAGAUUAAAUGAAUGGCAAACUG
Long non-coding RNA from Cryptotermes secundus, 1643 nucleotides. RefSeq lists it as uncharacterized. The transcript is spliced from 2 exons. Lineage: Eukaryota; Metazoa; Arthropoda; Insecta; Blattodea; Kalotermitidae. The record is from RefSeq and is a predicted model, not a curated record.